Molecule: non-coding RNA, 447 nt
Organism: Pelobates cultripes (western spadefoot toad)
Lineage: Eukaryota; Metazoa; Chordata; Amphibia; Anura; Pelobatidae
Source: the annotation of a GenBank genome assembly
CUGAGAGUGUGUAUCUGUUAACAAAUGUGUGUGUCUGACACUGAGUGUAUGUGUGUCUGUCAGUGAAUGUGUAUGUGUGUUUGUCAGUGUGUCUGUCAGUGAGUAUAUGUGUGUCUGAGUGAGUGUGUAUAUGUCUUGUCAGUGAGUGUGUAUCUGUUAGUGAGAUCGUGUGUCAGUGUGUCUGUCGGUGAAUGUGAGUGUGCGUGUCUGUCAGUGAGUGUGUAUGUUUCAGGACAAUGACUGUGUAUCUGCCAGCAAGUGUAUGUCUGUCAGAGCGUGUUGUUUUUUAACAGGAAGUGAACUUUAGAAGGGGGGUGGUGCCUGAGCUUUGUCAUGCCUAGGGCAGCAAAAAAACAGAAUACACCACUGGUUAAGAUGUAUUGAGUCAUAUUACAGCACAACUAAGGGUUUAGGGACUUGGCUUAGAGGGCACUUACCUUAAAGAUG